This 252-nucleotide ribosomal RNA is filed under the name uncultured bacterium. Its description in RNAcentral is "partial 16S ribosomal RNA". It matches the Rfam family "Bacterial small subunit ribosomal RNA", at positions 524 to 775 of the family's 1533-position model. The record is from RNAcentral.
UACGUAGGUGGCAAGCGUUGUCCGGAUUUAUUGGGCGUAAAGCGAGUGCAGGCGGCUCGAUAAGUCUGAUGUGAAAGCCUUCGGCUCAACCGGAGAAUUGCAUCAGAAACUGUCGAGCUUGAGUACAGAAGAGGAGAGUGGAACUCCAUGUGUAGCGGUGAAAUGCGUAGAUAUAUGGAAGAACACCGGUGGCGAAGGCGGCUCUCUGGUCUGUUACUGACGCUGAGGCUCGAAAGCAUGGGUAGCGAACAG